CAACAUUUGUCAUACAUUUUUUAUUUUUUAAUAAGAGCACAGAAAUGUACAGGGCUAUUAGGGCAGAUCCCAGAUCAGCUCAUACGUCUUGGAGCAAGGAGAGGAUGUGCACCAUAGUACACUAAAUUAAAUAGGCUAUCUUCACAAUGUGCAACUUGAAAGUCAAAAUCAAUGUUUAACCUACUGCAUAUCUGAAAAUAUAUGGUUACACUUUGGCAGUCCCUUUACAUUAGCAUAGGAAAGUCCUCUCAGUCUUGUAUCAACAAAAAGCCAUCAUCUUGGAAUGAAGCCCGCCAUUAUGACUAAGCCUCGAUAGGCAAAUAGCUUAUAACAAAAUAAGGAUAAAUAAAAUAAAUACACUUCAAAAUAAACAGGCACUCAAUUUUCCCAUUCCACACUAGAACCACAACAGUCCCCGAACACAAGUCGCAUAAUAAACUACCCCUUAUGUACACAGGCAAGUCAAGGCGGCGGGUUUCGCUAACUCUGUGCUAAUUUAGACAGCCGUUAUUCACGUUUAACUACUAUAGAAUAAACUGAGAAAAAGUGCAGUAGGGGAGAGAUGUACUAUUUGAUGUGACUAGAGGACUGACCCUCAGAGAAGUGGAGGAGAGAUGUACUAUUUGAUGUGACUAGAGGACUGACCCUCAGAGAAGUGGGGGAGAGAUGCACUAUUUGAUGUGACUACAGGACUGACCCUCAGAGAAGUGGGGGAGAGAUGUACUAUUUGAUGUGACUACAGGACUGACCGUCAGAGAAGUGGAGGAGAGAUGCACUAUUUGAUGUGACUACAGGACUGACCCUCAGAGAAGUGGGGGAGAGAUGUACUAUUUGAUGUGACUACAGGACUGACCCUCAGAGAAGUGGGGGAUAGAUGUACUAUUUGAUGUGACUAGAGGACUGACCCUCAGAGAAGUGGGGGAGAGAUGUACUAUUUGAUGUGACUACAGGACUGACCCUCAGAGAAGUGGGGGAUAGAUGUACUAUUUGAUGUGACUAGAGGACUGACCCUCAGAGAAGUGGGGGAGAGAUGUACUAUUUGAUGUGACUAGAGGACUGACCCUCAGAGAAGUGGGGGAGAGAUGCACUAUUUGAUGUGACUAGAGGACUGACCCUCAGAGAAGUGGGGGAGAUAUGUACUAUUUGAUGUGACUAGAGGACUGACCCUCAGAG
Molecule: non-coding RNA, 1173 nt
Organism: Oncorhynchus mykiss (rainbow trout)
Lineage: Eukaryota; Metazoa; Chordata; Actinopteri; Salmoniformes; Salmonidae
Source: RefSeq, a predicted model, not a curated record